GCCAGGCGUGGUGGCGCAUGCCUGUAGUCCCAGCUGCUCUGGAGGCUGAGACAGGAGAAUUGUUUGAACCCAGGAGCCGGAGGUUGCAGUGAGCCGAUAUUGAGCCACUGCACUCCAGCCUGGGUGACAGAGGGAGACCCUGUCUCAA
Molecule: non-coding RNA, 148 nt
Filed under: Nomascus leucogenys (northern white-cheeked gibbon)
Lineage: Eukaryota; Metazoa; Chordata; Mammalia; Primates; Hylobatidae
Source: Rfam by way of RNAcentral